RNAcentral lists this long non-coding RNA (244 nucleotides) under Lotus japonicus. RNAcentral's name for it is "long non-coding RNA (LJAP_LNC000486)". The record is from RNAcentral. Lineage: Eukaryota; Viridiplantae; Streptophyta; Magnoliopsida; Fabales; Fabaceae.
UCAUUGUCGUUUUUGUUGUCCAAGAGCCUUGUAAAAUUAAUGAAGGAAUAUAGAAUAGUGUAUGUGUGUGUGGUGUGAGUGAUAGUGUUUGAUUGUUGAUUUCGGAGGGCUUUAGGGUCCAGCCCUUACUGUGCUUGAAAAGCUUUUGCGAAAACUCACAUAAAACUGUUGUUGUUUUCGAAAGUAGUAGCCACUGUUCUGUUAAAAUCGUAUGUUUCGGUUAAUAUUUUCGAACUGUGUUCUU